GAUGAAGAACGUAGCGAAAUGCGAUAAGUAGUGUGAAUUGCAGAAUUCAGUGAAUCAUCGAAUCUUUGAACGCACAUUGCGCCCCUUGGUAUUCCAUGGGGCAUGCCUGUUCGAGCGUCAUUUGUACCUUCAAGCUUUGCUUGGUGUUGGGUGUUUGUCUCGCCUUUGCGUGUAGACUCGCCUCAAAACAAUUGGCAGCCGGCGUACUUGUUUCGGAGCGCAGCACAUUUUGCGAUCCAGAUCAACGUACAGCGGCAUCCAAGAAGCCUUAUUUAACGCUCUUGACCUCGGAUCAGGUAGGGAUACCCGCUGAACUUAAGCAUAUCAAUAAGCGGAGGA
RNAcentral lists this unclassified non-coding RNA (339 nucleotides) under soil metagenome. RNAcentral's name for it is "partial contains 5.8S ribosomal RNA, internal transcribed spacer 2, and large subunit ribosomal RNA". The stretch from base 1 to 120 matches the Rfam family "5.8S ribosomal RNA", at positions 35 to 154 of the family's 154-position model. The record is from RNAcentral.